This is a non-coding RNA of Brachypodium distachyon (stiff brome), 136 nucleotides long. Lineage: Eukaryota; Viridiplantae; Streptophyta; Magnoliopsida; Poales; Poaceae. The record is from Rfam.
UUAGUACUUCCUCCGUUUAACAAAAGAUGUCUAAAAUUUUUCAAAAUUUGGAUGUAUCUACACAUGACUUAGUGUAUAGAUGCAUUCAAAUUUGAUCAAAGUUGAGACAUUCUUUGUUGAACGGAGGGAGUAUUAA